UACGUAGGUGGCAAGCGUUGUCCGGAAUUAUUGGGCGUAAAGGGCGCGUAGGCGGAUCUGUAAGUCAGAGGUGAAAUCCUGCGGCUUAACCGUAGAACUGCCUUUGAUACUGCAGAUCUUGAGUUCGAAAGAGAGUAGCGGAAUUCCAGGUGUAGUGGUGAAAUACGUAGAUAUCUGGAAGAACACCAGUGGCGAAGGCGGCUACUUGGUUCGCAACUGACGCUGAGGCGCGAAAGCGUGGGGAGCAAACAGG
This 253-nucleotide ribosomal RNA is filed under the name uncultured microorganism. RNAcentral's name for it is "partial 16S ribosomal RNA". It matches the Rfam family "Bacterial small subunit ribosomal RNA", at positions 524 to 776 of the family's 1533-position model. The record is from RNAcentral.